Molecule: RNA transcript, 1364 nt
Organism: Glycine soja
Lineage: Eukaryota; Viridiplantae; Streptophyta; Magnoliopsida; Fabales; Fabaceae
Gene name: WAT1-related protein At4g08290-like
Exons: 5
Source: RefSeq, a predicted model, not a curated record
AGCAUUUUCAAACAUUAGCAAAUAGCAAUCAAACACACAAACAUGGAAGAAACAUGUAGUCGUGCUGGUUUUGGAAAGAAAUUUACUAAGGCGCGCAAAGCCUUAUUUGUUAACGGUGGGACUUCAAUUUGGUUUCGCCGGAGGAUACAUCUUCUCCGUCGCUAGUCUCAACCAUGGAAUGAGUCGUUAUGUGUUCGUUGUCUAUCGCAAUGCCAUCGCUGCAUUGGCCCUCGCUCCUUUUGCAUUAAUCGUUAUGUGUUCGUUGUCAUGAUGAAAAUUAAUUAACAUUACUCUCUACAAUUUUGCAGGAAAAUAAGGCCAAAGAUAAUACUUCCUGUCUUCUUACAGAUAGUGGCAGUCGGAUUUGUGGAGUAAUGAUGAAAAACAUGCCAAGGGUUCACUUUCUUGGGCAUGCAAUAUACGUCGGCUUCAUUUGCCUCUGCCAUAAUGAAUGCCGUGCCUCCUGUCACUUUUGUGCUAGCCGUAAUUCUAAGGUUAGAGCGUGUGAAUGUAAAAGAGGUGCGGAGCCUAGCAAAGGUGAUUGGGACGUUGGUAACCUUUUCAGGUGCUUUGUUAAUGACAUUUACAAAGGUCCUCAAAUUAAGCUAUUUUUCUCUCCUGUCACAACCCACCACCAAGAUGGAAGCCACUCUCCUGAUGAGGCUCUCAGGGACUGUCUUUCUCCUCCUCGGUUGUGUCGCUUGGUCAUCUUUCUUCAUUUUACAGGGUAAAUUAAAUUGUGAAUUGAAGUCGAUAACAUUGAAAAGGUAUCCGGCAGAAUUGUGACUGUCUUCAUUGGUAUGCUUAUCGGGUGCUUUGCAAGCCAGCGUGGUGGCAAUUGUGGCCACUCGUCAUUCUGGGCUUGUUGCAUGGGCCUUAGGUUGGGACUUCAGGCUCCAUGGCCCUCUCUACACGUAUCAUUGGAGCUGUCAUUAUCGCAUUGGGUCAGUACUCUGUGGUGUGGGGCAAAGGCAAAGACUAUUCAAACCCCACGGCGCCAUCAUCACCUACAACAAAGCACACAGAGACACAACAGCUUCCAAUUUCCUCAUCUGAUAUCUAACACAGAUUUCCAAAGGAAUUUAUGCAUGGUGCAUUUCUGCUUCUGCUGCCUCAUAAAUCUGCAAUAGUUAUGGAUGUUAAUUUCUUGUUUUCGGUCUCCACGUUGGGAAGGGAAAGUAUCAGAUUGAGACAAGAGGCAGUGUCAUAUUGGCAUUGCUUUAAUAUAUCAUCCAGAAACAAAAUAUAUCUAACGCUCUAUAUGUGAUCAUAAGCUUUUAAUCGCCUUGUCUUGGGUGGUUGAUCAUCCUUUAGCUCUUAUCAAACGAUAAGCUUUUAAUAAUUAUUAAAUCUAUUGAUAUCUC